RNAcentral lists this small RNA (77 nucleotides) under Xanthomonas oryzae. RNAcentral describes it as "sX9". It matches the Rfam family "Xanthomonas sRNA sX9". The record is from RNAcentral. Lineage: Bacteria; Pseudomonadati; Pseudomonadota; Gammaproteobacteria; Lysobacterales; Lysobacteraceae.
AUGUACCACUCCUACACUGUGGUUCUGAGCGCGCCGUCCGCACCCACCUGACGACUGCUCGCUACGUUUUGUUAGCC